GGGCGGGCUGAGGGGGCGGGCUGACGGGCCGCGGCGCUGGCCCCCUGAUAGUUCCUGCCGGACCUGGGUGGUUGUGUCCGCUCGGGGUUCUGUCGCUCCAUGGUACGCCCGUGAGGCUGGCUGCCGGCGGCCGUCUCCUCGAAAUGGAGCACAUCCGUACGACCAAGGUUGAGCAAGUGAAAUUACUUGACCGAUUCAGUACCAGCAACAAGUCACUAACAGGAACACUCUAUCUUACAGCCACACAUCUAUUAUUUAUAGACUCUCAUCAGAAAGAAACCUGGAUAUUGCAUCACCAUAUUGCCUUAGUGGAGAAACUAGCUUUGACUACUUCUGGAUGCCCACUUGUGAUUCAGUGCAAGAACUUCAGGAUUGUGCAUUUCAUUGUUCCCAGAGAAAGAGAUUGCCAUGAUAUUUACAAUUCCCUGCUACAACUGUCAAAACAAGCAAAAUAUGAAGAUCUCUAUGCAUUCUCUUACAAUCCCAAACAAAACGAUUCAGAGCGACUCCGAGGCUGGCAGCUCAUUGACCUUGCCGAGGAAUAUAAGAGGAUGGGAGUGCCAAAUUCAAACUGGCAGCUGUCUGAUGCCAACCGAGAAUACAAGAUUUGUGAAACUUACCCCAGAGAACUUUAUGUUCCCCGAAUAGCAAGUAAACCAAUAAUUGUUGGUAGUUCCAAGUUCCGGAGCAAGGGAAGAUUCCCAGUUCUUUCCUACUAUCAUGAACAUAAAGAGGCUGCCAUUUGUCGAUGUAGUCAGCCACUAUCAGGAUUCAGUGCCAGGUGCCUGGAGGAUGAACAUUUGCUUCAAGCCAUUAGUAAAGCCAACCCAGUCAAUCGCUAUAUGUAUGUAAUGGAUACCAGGCCCAAACAUCGCAUGCAGAGCUGGUGGGCUACACAAAAGGACAUUGGCAGAAUUAUAGUGAGGAUUUCUUCAAAAAUCUGGAAUGAUGAGAAAAUAAGAGAAAGCGAUGAGAAAAAGCGACUGAAUGCAAUGGCCAACAGAGCAGCUGGAAAAGGUUAUGAAAAUGAAGACAACUAUUCUAAUAUUAGAUUUCAGUUUGUUGGAAUUGAAAAUAUUCAUGUCAUGCGGUCCAGCCUUCAGAAGUUAUUGGAAGUUAAUGGUACCAAAGGGCUUUCUGUCAGUGAUUUCUACUCUGGUUUGGAGAGCUCAGGAUGGCUUCGCCAUAUCAAAGCUGUUAUGGAUGCAGCAAUCUUCUUAGCCAAAGCAAUAACGGUUGAAAGUGCAAGUGUGUUGGUACAUUGUUCUGAUGGUUGGGAUCGGACGUCCCAGGUCUGUUCCCUUGGCUCUCUCUUACUGGAUUCCUACUACAGGACAAUCAAAGGAUUCAUGGUUUUAAUAGAAAAGGAUUGGAUCUCAUUUGGACAUAAGUUUUCAGAGAGGUGUGGCCAUUUGGAUGGUGACCCAAAGGAAGUCUCACCGGUGUUUACUCAGUUCUUGGAAUGUGUGUGGCAUUUGACCGAACAGUUUCCACAAGCCUUUGAAUUCAAUGAAGCGUUUCUCCUUCAGAUCCAUGAACAUAUUCAUUCAUGCCAAUUUGGAAACUUCCUUGGAAAUUGUCAGAAGGAAAGAGAAGAACUCAAGUUAAAGGAGAAGACUUACUCCCUGUGGCCUUUUCUCCUGGAUGACCAGAAGAAGUACUUAAAUCCUCUCUACACUUCUAAAUCUCCAAAAUUUACAGUUUUGGAGCCAAAUACAGUAUCUUUCAAUUUUAAGUUUUGGAGAAACAUGUACCACCAAUUUGACCGAACAUUGCAUCCUAGACAGUCUGUGUUUAAUAUAAUUACGAAUAUGAAUGAGCAAAAUAAGCAGUUAGAGAAAGAUAUUAAAGACUUAGAAUCGGUCCGCUUUAGAGUACUGAAAAUUCAUUCAGUUGGCAUUCUAAGUUGGAUGAAAUUCUGAUCGUUUACAAAACUAUAUAAGGAGAAGUUGCAGGCUUUUAUCGGUGAUGUCGAUUUCAUUGGCCGUGUUUUGGCUAUUCUGUUGGCUUUUCCGUGCAGUAGUACAACUCGCAUUAACAUGUUUUGGUGGGUUAAAACGUAGAACCUGUUUUUACAAGUACAGAACUAUACGCUUUUUAGAAGGCUGUAUCUAGAAAAAGCCUGUAAACUAAGAUGACUGACUAUCUCAAGAAAAGGAUAUAUACUAUUGUACUUAUCAGAAAAUAAAACACUAAUUUCUGCCAUUUUUCUAAGUGGUAUUAGUGCUAAUCUAAUUAUUUCCAAGCAAGUAAAAUACCCCUUUGCACAGCAACUCUUGUCAAAGAGUGGAAUGUGUAACCAAAAGCAACCUUCAGAAGCAUUUGCACUUAACAAUAUUUGUGGAGCUUCUGUUGCAGAAUGGUAGGAGAAUCACAUUCUGAAUCGCCUACCCCGAUCAGUAAGCGUCUCUCCUGUUCUUAAAAGAAACGCAGAAUUACUUUCCCAUGAAGAGCAGUAAUUUGGGACGCAUCGUACUUAAGAAACAUUGCUGCACAAGAUGGGUGAGAAAGAAACCUUUAUUUUAGGUCACCGAGAGUUUGGGCUCUGUUACUGUAGCAUAACCUAGUUCAUCCUGAAUGAGGAAACCAUUAGCACACCUAAGAAGUUAAUAAGCCUCUGAUUUCAUCUAGAUUCCAGCCCCUCAUGGUCUCCUCAGGGCCUUUUACUUACUUUUGCACUCCUAUCUACAGUUGUUUCAUGCAUUGCAUUUGCUUGUACCUCUCUAGGCUCUGACGUUGAACAGUCCCCUCACCCUUUGCACUGACAUCUUGAACCAGACCAACUGUAGGGUAUCUUACGACCUCCUGAACCUCCUUACUCAGGAGGAUAUAAUAAUCAGCCUGUUCCACUGUUUUGAUGAUAAAUUCGAUCACUUGGUUGAUCUCUCCUUCUAAAGGCACACCUGAGAGAUACUGGGAUUUGAUUCCAGACCACUACAACAGAGUAAAUAUCACAAUAAAGAAUAUAGGUUUGGGUCACUCCAGCAGGUGAAGAACCACGACCAGCUGAGGUGCUGGCUGAAAGCAAAAGGACUACAGAAUGGGCAGUGGGAAGAGGUACUUACGAAUGCCAGAAAUGACCAUGUGACCAGUUACAGAUUGAGGACUAUUUCCUUCUUAUAUUGAUGAAUACAUUUGUGAAAGGACUCCCGACCGAGUCCCUUGAUCACAUUUGAGAGCGGUGCAGGAGGUAGAGGAGGACAGACAGGCAUGUUCACGCCUCGGUUAGGUGCUUGGUUUUGCUCCCAGUGUGCUGGGCGGUCGUUGGAAAAUGCAGCCACCCGAGGACAGUGCGUGCUGGGGAACUGAGACGUGCUUGGAAUUGGGGGAGCAUAUUGGCUCUGCCAGGGUAACCCUCGUCCUCGCUCCGUGAUCCAGUUCGAAUCCUCGGACCCGUGAUCCAGCAGGAAGACUUCCUGCAACCCCCAACCAGGCCUGAGUGGUUCACCUGUGAUCUCCCAGGAGUUCAGAUGUGCCCCAUGAGGACAGGGGUGUUGGUGUGUGUGACGUCACUCCGGGGCUCCGUGUCUGGUGGACGCCGUGGGACUCGUCGAAUGGACAAGUACGCACGGGAAGUCAAGAAGGAGCAAGGUUUGAAAGGAGAACGAGGGUCAAAUGACCUUUCAUAAAUAGUAAUGUGGUGAAACCCCUUCAUCUAGGGUUCUAGUCUCUGGCAUUCAUUUUUUAGAUCUAAUUUAUACCUAGGUAUCUGUCAUAGAGAUUUGACAUUGUAGGGAAUGUGCAAGACGAGAAUGCCUCCCUCUUUCCGGAGUGACAGUCAGUCAUCUGAAAGCCAAACAACAAGGAGGCAAUGGAAUCGCCUGGAACAAACAGGGUGGAACCUCUUUCUGAGCAAAGGCGUCAGGAGACUAUGAGUUUAAAGGUCCUUACUUUUACUGUGGCAGAGAUGACAAAAAAGAGGCUUCAGCUUCCAAGAAAAGAGCAACGUACACAUUUGGUGCAAAAUUCUGUUGCCUCCACAUCAUGCUGUGUAUCCCUACCAGUUAAAAAAAAGAGAGAGUUUCUGGUGCUCCUGGCUCAGUCGGUUAAGCAGCUAGGUCGGGAUCUCAUAGCUCGUGGGUUCGAGCUCUGAGUCAGGCUCUGUGCCGACAGCUGGGAGCCCGGAGCCUGCUUUGGAUUCUGUGUCUCGCUCUCUCUCUGUCCCUCCCCUCGUUGUCUCUCUCUCUCUAUCAAACAUAAAUAAACAUUUAAAAAAUUAAGAAAAAAAGAGACAACAUUCCUGUCAGGAGGGUCAUCUUUCAGCCCAGUGGCUCCAAACACCAGCUAACCUGUGGGCUGACUUCAGGCCACGGGAAGGUUUUCCCAGUCUGGCAAAAUGAAUGAAGGACAGCAUGGUGUGAAUAUAUGUGUUUGGAUCAGGUUGCAAACUGUCUUCUCCUGUGGUGGAUGAUCUUUGUUUCUGAUUUUUAGCUGUUGUAAUCUCUUUUCUUUGUUUUUUGUUAGCUAAUUGCUUAACAACCUUACUGGGAGUCAUGGGAUGCUAUUGUUCUAUUUGCCUAACUCUGCCUCCCCUUAUACUCUUUCUUUUUCUUUUUCUUUUUUUUUUUUAACAUUUUUUUACACUUAUUCAUUUUUGAGAGACAGAGCAUGAACUGGGGAGGGGCAGAGAGAGACAGAAUCUGAAGCAGGCUCCAGGCUCUGAGCUGUCAGCACAGAGCCCAAUGUGGGACCUGAACCCAUAAACUGUGAGAUCAUGACCUGAGCUGAAGUCGUACAUUUAACUGACUGAGCCACCCAGGCAUCCCUCCUUACACUCUUUCUAAUACGUCUUAUUGUUUUGUUUUGUUUUGUUUUGUUUUGUUUUGUUUUGUUUUGUUUUAUUUUAUUUUACUUUAUUUUAUUUUAUUUUUUGUUUGCUUGUGUAUUCAUUUAUUCCUUUAUUCAGCAUGUAUUAACUGACCAUGGAAUUUAGUGGAUCUUAGGCCAAAACUAAAAAGAAAAAAACAACAACAACAAAACUUUGCCCCUAUUGAAACAUACUUUGAGCUUCAACAUUUCCUUAAAUCUCAAUGUGGGUAAGUCUUAGAUUCUUUCCUGAGAAGACUGAAUGGGGAGAGAGAAUGAGUGAGUUUGGGAUUUUAAAGACAGUGUAAAUGAUAUAGAAAGAUGCACAGGAAGUCACCACAUUAAACUUUGUCAGUGUCCCAACUUUCCUCAAGCAGCUGAGUGGAUAGGUGUUGACUUUGGUAAAUUCACUAGCGUCAGCCAAAGAACUUGUUCCUAAAUCAUACAGACUUUAAAGACGAUUGAAGGAGACUUCAACACAUGAAAAGCUGCAGGAUCUCAAAACCAGAGACAAUUGGGGUAUCCUUCUGUAGCUGUUUUCACUUGGGGUGAGUUUGAAAAACAUUUAAAAGCCAGCCGAAAUUGCAAUGAGUCUUUCCCAACCAUACCCACUCUUCCUGUCUCCAACACUAAGCUGCGGGCGUCUUAGGGGCAGGGGCUGGGCCUUGAUCAUCAUUAUUCCUGAUGUUUAGCACAGUGCUUAGUGCACUGCUAGUAUUGAAUCAGCACUUAAUAACUGAUUGAAUGAGAAAUUGCUGCAUGGUGGCCCAGAAUGCCAAGAUCCUUUUCCUGAAUUAAGCCUUGAUUCUGUCUUACAGUGGGACCCCAUGAAAAUAGCUGCUUGUAGGGUAAACCCUUCAGGAAAUCAAGACGUUGGGAAAUUGUUUCUCUUGACCCCAAUUUUCUAACAUGUCAUUAAAAUUUAUGAGGGAGAAGACAGAGCCAAUAAACUUUCCCCCACUUCCAGGCAAGUCUCUUAAGUUCGCCAGCACACGUUGUCCUGGAAUGGCUGCACCUUCCGAUGACUUCCCAGUGUACUCGGAAUAAAAACUAACCCCCUCACUGCACAUGUCGCCUUUUCCCUGCCGGCCUCCCUCUUGUGCGCUGCGCUAGAAUGUGAUAAAAAGAACCUUUGUCCUCACCACGGGGAAUGCAAAAUCAAAUACACUGUCAAAACCAUGAUAUCACCACUUUUAGUAUAUGAAUGCUUUGCUCAUCGAAAAAAGACAGCGAUAGGAAAUGAAACAGUGGGAUGGCGGAAAGAAGGGGCAUUUUUCACAGCACCCUGGGCCUGGCCUCUCCUCUCUUCAGAAGGCCUGGGAAAAGAGCUAUGUUUAUGACUGAGUAGGCUCUGAAGAGCAGGACCUUCAUUGUGCUGAGCUUGGUUCCCCACUGAGCUGCCACUCAAAUGGCAGCGUGACUGGAAGUCAACAACCCCGUUGCCAUGGCCAAGUGGGCGUUGGACUACUAUCUCCUCUGGGGAGCCGCUGUGGGAAAAUGCGUCUGCUCCCACCAGCAUCACCGGUAUCAUCCCCACCAGCACUUAUGGAGUGAAAGCUCCAAAACUCUAAAUCGCCUUUUCCACUCCCAUAACCUAAGAUCAGUUGCUGCUGCUGGUGAGUUUCAUCAGGUAGCCAAGAGGCACGACUUCCUUGGCCAUCCUUUCCGGAAAGAACUCAUCUUACUGGAGGAGAACAGUCUGAUUCAAAUUCCUUCGGUGUCGUUGCAAAUGCCAUUCACAGUUCAGAGACGUAUUCGACUGGGAUUACCCAGCAGGAAAAGGAACAGAAUCUGCAACUCAAAAUUUAAAUUGAAUCAUGGUCUAGUUAAUCUUGUAUAAUUAAUUACUCCGUGUACUGUCACUGAAAAUUUCAAAAUCCUAAGUCUCAAAUGUGAGGUAAUUAGCAUUUGGUAAAGUCGUUAUCAGCUUCUGAUUCUA
RNA transcript from Felis catus (domestic cat), 6745 nucleotides. It is a transcript of the gene named myotubularin related protein 6, with no coding region annotated. Lineage: Eukaryota; Metazoa; Chordata; Mammalia; Carnivora; Felidae. The record is from RefSeq and is a predicted model, not a curated record. The transcript is spliced from 20 exons.